UACCGUGCGUUGACAGGGACUAGUAAAUAAUUGAAGGUGCGCUAGAGAACAGCAUCCAUCGGCUGGAAGAUGCUCCGCUCCGUUCUUAUUGAACCUGCCCUUGAGCUAUUCGGACAAAAACCGAAUCGUUUUCUUCACGUUACGAAGCGAUUAAGUGAGUACGCGUUCGUCGUAUUAACAAAGGUGGUACCGCGGGUAAAGCCUCUCCCCGUCCUUUUU
This 219-nucleotide non-coding RNA is filed under the name Sporolactobacillus inulinus. RNAcentral describes it as "T-box sequence". It matches the Rfam family "T-box leader". Rfam says of the family: Uncharged tRNA acts as the effector for transcription antitermination of genes in the T-box leader family. T-boxes are found upstream of many aminoacyl-tRNA synthetase genes and some amino acid biosynthetic genes usually in Gram-positive bacteria. The anticodon of a specific tRNA base pairs to a specifier sequence within the T-box motif, and the NCCA acceptor tail of the tRNA base pairs to a conserved bulge in the T-box antiterminator hairpin. Lineage: Bacteria; Bacillati; Bacillota; Bacilli; Caryophanales; Sporolactobacillaceae. The record is from RNAcentral.